Molecule: ribosomal RNA, 479 nt
Filed under: Pseudomonas sp. RK05
Lineage: Bacteria; Pseudomonadati; Pseudomonadota; Gammaproteobacteria; Pseudomonadales; Pseudomonadaceae
Description: bacterial SSU rRNA
Rfam family: Bacterial small subunit ribosomal RNA
Source: RNAcentral
GAACUUUCCAGAGAUGGAUUGGUGCCUUCGGGAACUCAGACACAGGUGCUGCAUGGCUGUCGUCAGCUUGUGUCGUGAGAUGUUGGGUUAAGUCCCGUAACGAGCGCAACCCUUGUCCUUAGUUACCAGCACCUCGGGUGGGCACUCUAAGGAGACUGCCGGUGACAAACCGGAGGAAGGUGGGGAUGACGUCAAGUCAUCAUGGCCCUUACGGCCAGGGCUACACACGUGCUACAAUGGUCGGUACAAAGGGUUGCCAAGCCGCGAGGUGGAGCUAAUCCCAUAAAACCGAUUGUAGUCCGGAUCGCAGUCUGCAACUUGACUGCGUGAAGUCGGAAUCGCUAGUAAUCGUGAAUCAGAAUGUCACGGUGAAUACGUUCCCGGGCCUUGUACACACCGCCCAUCGCACCAUGGGAGUGGGUUGCUCCAGAAGUAGCUAGUCUAACCUUCUGGGAGGCCGGUACCAAGAGUACCAGCCC